AAUAGAUACCCUGGUAGUCCACGCCGUAAACGAUGAGUGCUAAGUGUUGGAGGGUAUCCACCCUUCAGUGCUGCAGCUAACGCAUUAAGCACUCCGCCUGGGGAGUACGGUCGCAAGACUGAAACUCAAAGGAAUUGACGGGGGCCCGCACAAGCGGUGGAGCAUGUGGUUUAAUUCGAAGCAACGCGAAGAACCUUACCAGGUCUUGACAUCCUCUGCCAAUCCUAGAGAUAGGACGUUCCCCUUCGGGGGACAGAGUGACAGGUGGUGCAUGGUUGUCGUCAGCUCGUGUCGUGAGAUGUUGGGUUAAGUCCCGCAACGAGCGCAACCCUUGUCCUUAGUUGCCAGCAUUGGGUUGGGCACUCUAAGGAGACUGCCGGCUAAAAGUCGGAGGAAGGUGGGGAUGACGUCAAAUCAUCAUGCCCCGUUAUGACCUGGGCUACACACGUGCUACAAUGGAUGGUACAAAGGGUUCGCGAAACCGCGAGGUGGAGCCAAUCCCAAAAAGCCAUUCUCAGUUCGGAUUGC
RNAcentral lists this ribosomal RNA (528 nucleotides) under uncultured bacterium. RNAcentral describes it as "bacterial SSU rRNA". It matches the Rfam family "Bacterial small subunit ribosomal RNA", at positions 777 to 1301 of the family's 1533-position model. The record is from RNAcentral.